Molecule: ribosomal RNA, 252 nt
Filed under: uncultured Methylophilaceae bacterium
Lineage: Bacteria; Pseudomonadati; Pseudomonadota; Betaproteobacteria; Nitrosomonadales; Methylophilaceae
Description: partial 16S ribosomal RNA
Rfam family: Bacterial small subunit ribosomal RNA
Source: RNAcentral
CGUAGGGUGCAAGCGUUAAUCGGAAUUACUGGGCGUAAAGCGUGCGCAGGCUGUUUUGUAAGUCAGAUGUGAAAUCCCUGAGCUCAACUUAGGAACUGCGUUUGAAACUACAAGACUAGAAUAUGUCAGAGGGGGGUAGAAUUCCACGUGUAGCAGUGAAAUGCGUAGAGAUGUGGAGGAAUACCAAUGGCGAAGGCAGCCCCCUGGGAUAAUAUUGACGCUCAUGCACGAAAGCGUGGGGAGCAAACAGGA